Molecule: transfer RNA, 71 nt
Filed under: Mus musculus (house mouse)
Lineage: Eukaryota; Metazoa; Chordata; Mammalia; Rodentia; Muridae
Also listed under: 1 other name
Rfam family: tRNA
About the family: Transfer RNA (tRNA) molecules are approximately 80 nucleotides in length. Their secondary structure includes four short double-helical elements and three loops (D, anti-codon, and T loops). Further hydrogen bonds mediate the characteristic L-shaped molecular structure. tRNAs have two regions of fundamental functional importance: the anti-codon, which is responsible for specific mRNA codon recognition, and the 3' end, to which the tRNAs corresponding amino acid is attached (by aminoacyl-tRNA synthetases). tRNAs cope with the degeneracy of the genetic code in two manners: having more than one tRNA (with a specific anti-codon) for a particular amino acid; and 'wobble' base-pairing, i.e. permitting non-standard base-pairing at the 3rd anti-codon position.
Source: Rfam by way of RNAcentral
GGGGAGAUGGCUCAGAGGUUUAGAGCACUGGCUGUCCUUCCAGAGGACCUGAGUUCAAGUCCCAGACCCCA